Molecule: long non-coding RNA, 427 nt
Organism: Salvelinus namaycush (lake trout)
Lineage: Eukaryota; Metazoa; Chordata; Actinopteri; Salmoniformes; Salmonidae
Exons: 3
Source: RefSeq, a predicted model, not a curated record
GAGAGAGAAGUUGCAGGUCACCCAAAAAGGAGGGAAACAGAGAGAUCUUUCUGAAGGAUGUGGGAAUGCAGUUCUCCCCUGGACCAUAGCUGGUGUGUCUCUCAGUAUGACUGUAGCCCUUCUCAUCUACCUGUCUACAAAUGCUUACAUACGGAUGCAAGGUAAGAAUGUGAAGCCAAAAGAAGAGGAGAGUACCUACAUCUCAUUGGAUAAAAAAUACACGUCUCAGGAAGAGUAUGAGGUCAUUGCCAGGCGUCCAAGAUGAUUGAGCACCUGUUCUUCCCUCCACUCCUAAGCUUAUGCUGAGAGUUUUCAGUAGACUGAGAUCAUUUUCAUGUAAAACAAUUCACACUUAUCGUCUUUAAAACAAUAUAUUUUAUUUUUUAUUUUUUAGGGGUGGAUCAGCUUAAUAUUGAGGAAAUAAUGU